Molecule: long non-coding RNA, 4528 nt
Filed under: Homo sapiens (human)
Lineage: Eukaryota; Metazoa; Chordata; Mammalia; Primates; Hominidae
Description: non-protein coding lnc-IL5RA-8:2
Source: RNAcentral
AGGAACUUCAUCAUGAAGUCUCAAGUAAACGAACAUUUUAUCUUUCUUGGGAUUCUAUCACUUCUUAAUGUUUGCCCUUAUAGUGAUUCAGCUGAUUCUCAUUUAAAGUUUUUACACAAAAACAGUUUGGAUUAUAUCUUGAGGUUUUCACUUCAGAUACUGGACAAGUAAUUAGUAUAAAGGCAACUAACAUGGUCAUAAUAGAAGUAUGGUGUUUACUCUCAACAUUUAUCUUCCCAAAGUUGUCUUCAGCAUUGAAAUUUUAAUGUUUGACCUUUUUAAAUAGGAAUGAAGAUUCUAGUUACAAUAUAUAUUUGAAGGAUAUAGGAAGCAUGAUUUCACACUUCAUAGAUAGUCACGUCAUGGGAUUAUCUACAAAAUUUUUUAUCUUUUUAAAAUUAGAUGUUUUCCUAGGCCAAAAUCAUUUUUCAGAUGUUGCUCAUUCCAGCAUUAGAAUCUUUAUUCUGUGGGGUUUUUUAAGUGCCUUUUUGUUUUGUUUUCAGAGAAAGUUUCAUUGUGCAAAUCUAACUUCAUGGCCUCGCUGGCUGUAUUCCUUAUAUGAUGCUGUAAGUAACUUACCUUAAAUUUACUUUAUAUAUGGUAGGCCAUGUCAUAAUUAAGGGUCAUUAAAAAACAAAGGUUUAGUUUUUCCAGUUUCUAGUGCCUUAUAACUUAAGAUAUCGUUAAGAGUGGUGGCUCACACCUGUAAUCCCAGCACUUUGGGAGGCCAAGGCAGGGGGAUUGCUUGAAGCCAGGCAUUCAAGACCAGCCUGGGCAACAUGGUGAAACCCCAUCUCUACAAAUACAAAAAUUAGCCAGGUUUGGUGGCAUGUGGCUGUAGUCCCAGCUGCUUGAGAGGCUGAGGUGGAAGGAUUGAUUGAGCCUGGGAGGUCAAGGCUGCCGUGAGCUGAGAUUGUGUCACUGUACUCCAGCCUGGACAACAGAGCAAGACUGUCUCAAAAGGGAAAAAAAAAGGUAUCACAAGACUCUUUAGAGUUUUAUUAAGCAUGUGAAAUUUUGUUGGGUUGGGUGAUAGUUACAUUUAGAACAUUAAAGCAUCCAUAUUUUACUGUUUUGGUUUUUCUCUAAACAAGUAUAUUAACUUACGUCUCUUGAUCAUUAGUCUAUUAAUUAAUGCAUCCAGGAGGGUUUUUGCUCCUUAAAGUUUAACACUAGGCAUUGCCACAUUUUGCAAAACUAAGGGACAGUGCUGAAAUGGUUUAAAGAAUCUGGAUUUCAGAUCAGAGACUGACUUCAGAGUCUGAUUUCUGUCACUUACUCUGUGGGCCUGGAGCAAAUUACUUCUCCAAGGACCUAUGAAAUGGAUAUAAUGGUAGCUAUUGUACCUGGUGUGCAUAGCGGGCAUUCAAUAAAUGCUAGCCAUUUCCCUUAAUGAAUCACUGCCCACAAAUCUGGAGUCCUGGGAAAACUCAACAACAUGCACGACACUAAAGGAAACUGCAGUUGAUCUCCGCUCUUUAGCAGCUUUUCAGCAAUUACAAAGACACAAUAUAUGAGUUUUUGCAUGUUUUGCAUAUGCUUGUGAAAAUUAUGUAGUAAAUAGGUGCCAAGUAAGGUAUGUAGAUAGCAAGUGCUAGUGCAAUUUAUAGGUGCCAUAAUCCCUAUGGACUGGGUCAGAAAUGGCCUAAUAGAAGGCAGAAGAGAGGCCAGUUCCAAGCAGGGGCAUAGAACAGAACAAUCUGCAAGGGAGUUGGGAGCAUAUACCGCUGGGUUAAGACAGUGAGUGAGAAAAGGCUGGAAGGCAGACAGUGCUGGGCAAAGGAGCUGGAGCUUGAUCAUUGCUGCAUACGAAAAUGGAGGCAUUUAAACUGGGACUGAGAUGGGACUGAGUGAUUAAAUUGCUACCAGUGUUAGUUUUAAGAGUUGAAAAGCUUAAUAGUAAAUUUUAAUAAGCCCAUGAACUUGAUUAUGGCUACCUUUAUUUUAAACAAGGAGACCUUAAUGGACAGAAUCAAGAAACAGCUACGUGAAUGGGAUGAAAAUCUAAAAGAUGAUUCUCUUCCUUCAAAUCCAAUAGGUAUGAAAAGUUAGUUUCCUGCCUGGAGCCUGGGAUGUCUUGCUAUAAAAAAUAGCUUUUUCAUGGAUGCGAUCCAAUCAUAUCUUCUAGGUUUUAAGACUGAUUAAAACAUUUUAAUUCUGAAAAGCAUAAUUUCCUUUGAGCAGUUGAAAAAAAAUGAGUAUUUUAAAAUUAAUUGCAAUAAAAUCCUCAUAUUCUGUGAGCACUCCAAUUUUAGACAAGUUUUCCAUAAAAAGUUCAAAUUGCAGGAAGUGGCUGUCAUCCAAAAACACUUCCUGUGUAAGGACUCCUUUCCCUGUUCUUCAAGGUGCCUUUAAAAGAAGUGAGUCUAGUUCCAGGACUUGCCUUAAUUAUAGAUACUCUCUUUAUCUGUUUAUAAGGUAUAGUUUAGUUAUUUUUCUAGUCUCUUGGCAAAUAACUUCUAACAUGGAUUUGAGUUCAUGUUUAACAUAAAAGGAUUUUACCAAAAAAAGUAUAAGAAAAGCAAUUAAAUUUAGAGCUUCUGAAAAGUGUAUCUUUGACAGCUGGUAUAUUUUUGUAUUGUUUAUACUUGUAUAAAAUGUGUAACCUUAAAGAGAAGGGUUUAUUUCAAAAGGAUAUUAUCCGAUUUGUAAGUUCUCUGAUGCUUAUCUGACUCCUAAGUUUAAAACUUGAAAAACCAUGUCUUGAAGAUUUUUCUUACAGAGUAGCUGCUUGUCUUCCUAUUGAUGAUGUAUUGAGAAUUCAGCUCCUUAAAAUUGGCAGUGCUAUCCAGCGACUUCGCUGUGAAUUAGACAUUAUGAAUAAAGUGAGUAAAGUGAAUAUGUUUUUGAUGCCCAUGUUUUAUUCAGGCUGGAGAACUAGGAUGCUCUGUUGGGGCCAAUGGAGCUCUGUAUAGAGUCCAGUAAUGUAGUCAUGCAAUUCAGAUUUCAAUUGGGAUCUUACAAACAAACUCAUUGUUUUGUGUUUGUCAAAUAUGAAUACAUUUAUCAACUUAGUGAAAAAUAACUUGAUUUCUGCAUGGAAAUAUCCAAGGUUAUAUAUCACUAUUCCUUUACUCUAGAGAAGGUCAUUUAGUUUUAUGUAAAUAUGUGGCAGAUCUCAGUUUCAGUGACUUUCGUGCUCCAUCUUUAAAAGUGUUUUUGAAUGCUUGGAAGGAAAAUGUGAUAUUCAGAGAGAGCAAUAUCUUUAUAAGUAAGUUUCUUGAUGAUCUAUGUGAUUACAUGAUAAAGUGAAUGCCAGUUUUUCCUACCAAUAAUUUUUCUCUCAAAUCUUUUAGUGUACUUCCCUUUGCUGUAAACAAUGUCAAGAAACAGAAAUAACAACCAAAAAUGAAAUAUUCAGUUUAUCCUUAUGUGGGCCGAUGGCAGCUUAUGUGAAUCCUCAUGGAUAUGUGCAUGAGACACUUACUGUGUAUAAGGCUUGCAACUUGAAUCUGAUAGGCCGGCCUUCUACAGAACACAGCUGGUUUCCUGGGUAUGCCUGGACUGUUGCCCAGUGUAAGAUCUGUGCAAGCCAUAUUGGAUGGAAGUUUACGGCCACCAAAAAAGACAUGUCACCUCAAAAAUUUUGGGGCUUAACGCGAUCUGCUCUGUUGCCCACGAUCCCAGACACUGAAGAUGAAAUAAGUCCAGACAAAGUAAUACUUUGCUUGUAAACAGAUGUGAUAGAGAUAAAGUUAUCUAACAAAUUGGUUAUAUUCUAAGAUCUGCUUUGGAAAUUAUUGCCUCUGAUACAUACCUAAGUAAACAUAACAUUAAUACCUAAGUAAACAUAACAUUACUUGGAGGGUUGCAGUUUCUAAGUGAAACUGUAUUUGAAACUUUUAAGUAUACUUUAGGAAACAAGCAUGAACGGCAGUCUAGAAUACCAGAAACAUCUACUUGGGUAGCUUGGUGCCAUUAUCCUGUGGAAUCUGAUAUGUCUGGUAGCAUGUCAUUGAUGGGACAUGAAGACAUCUUUGGAAAUGAUGAGAUUAUUUCCUGUGUUAAAAAAAAAAAAAAUCUUAAAUUCCUACAAUGUGAAACUGAAACUAAUAAUUUGAUCCUGAUGUAUGGGACAGCGUAUCUGUACCAGUGCUCUAAAUAACAAAAGCUAGGGUGACAAGUACAUGUUCCUUUUGGAAAGAAGCAAGGCAAUGUAUAUUAAUUAUUCUAAAAGGGCUUUGUUCCUUUCCAUUUUCUUUAACUUCUCUGAGAUACUGAUUUGUAAAUUUUGAAAAUUAGUUAAAAUAUGCAGUUUUUUGAGCCCACGAAUAGUUGUCAUUUCCUUUAUGUGCCUGUUAGUAAAAAGUAGUAUUGUGUAUUUGCUCAGUAUCUGAACUAUAAGCCCAUUUAUACUGUUCCAUACAAAAGCUAUUUUUCAAAAAUUAAUUUGAACCAAAACUACUACUAUAGGGAAAAGAUGCCAAAACAUGUCCCCUCACCCAGACUAAACUUGAUACUGUAUUAUUUUGUUCAAUGUAAAUUGAAGAAAAUCUGUAAGUAAGUAAACCUUAAGUGUGAAACUAAA